GAAGAAAAGAAGAAAGUCAUUGUGGCUCUUGGAAACGUCAGCUAGAGAGAAGGAGAGGGUGUGAGAUAGAGAGAGAAGAGAAAGGAGGAGGAGAAGAAGAAGAAGAAGAGAAAAGGGAUUCAAAUCCUAGGUGAAUUGGAUUACAUGUGUUGUGUGAUGAAUGAGAAGGGAAGGUUGCUAGCGUGCUGAACGCAACGCAACAGAGAAGUUACUAAGGAUAUGACGUAACUCAAAGGGCGGACACGCCGAGGUUAUUCAAUGACCUGAUAUCUUGUUGACCUCAUAGAGGAGGUUUUCCUUAAGAUCUGACAUUGACAACAGAGGUAAUACAUAGGGUUUCUCUCUCGCAUCCGUUGUGAAGUUGAGAGUUCCGACCCCUGAGUAUGUAUGGCGUGGGGGUUUCCUAUGAACGAAUAAACGAUCAACAUAAGCAUCGAGUUUUAAGGAACUAUUUUAUGGAGUUUAAUUUAAAUAUGCCAGCGGGCCUUAAAUUUUUUUUUCUUUAAACAUUGCAUAUGAACAAUUUAUUUUAAUUUUAAAUUAUUGGGCCCAAACAUGCAUGUCAUACCUUUUUGCUUUUCUUGUUAC
Humulus lupulus (European hop) is the source of this 588-nucleotide long non-coding RNA. RefSeq lists it as uncharacterized. The transcript is spliced from 3 exons. NCBI's taxonomy places the organism in Eukaryota, Viridiplantae, Streptophyta, Magnoliopsida, Rosales, Cannabaceae. The record is from RefSeq and is a predicted model, not a curated record.